CCUACGGGAGGCAGCAGUGGGGAAUAUUGGGCAAUGGAGGCAACUCUGACCCAGCAACGCCGCGUGAAUGAUGAAGGUCUUCGGAUUGUAAAGUUCUGUGAUGGGGGAUGAACACAAUGACGGUACCCCAAUAGCAAGCCACGGCUAACUACGUGCCAGCAGCCGCGGUAAUACGUAGGUGGCAAGCGUUAUCCGGAAUGACUGGGCGUAAAGGGUGCGUAGGUGGUUUAGUAAGUUGGCGGUGUAAUUCCGGGGCUCAACCUCGGCGCUACCGCCAAAACUAGUAGACUAGAGUGCAGGGGGGGUAAGUGGAAUUCCUAGUGUAGCGGUGGAAUGAGUAGAUAGUAGGAGGAACAUCAGGGGCGAAGGCGACUUACUGGACUGUAACUGACACUGAGGCACGAAAGCGUGGGGAGCAAACAGGAUUAGAUACCCGGGUAGUC
This 443-nucleotide ribosomal RNA is filed under the name uncultured bacterium. Its description in RNAcentral is "partial 16S ribosomal RNA". It matches the Rfam family "Bacterial small subunit ribosomal RNA", at positions 338 to 795 of the family's 1533-position model. The record is from RNAcentral.